Molecule: transfer RNA, 72 nt
Filed under: Camelus bactrianus (Bactrian camel)
Lineage: Eukaryota; Metazoa; Chordata; Mammalia; Artiodactyla; Camelidae
Also listed under: 2 other names
Rfam family: tRNA
About the family: Transfer RNA (tRNA) molecules are approximately 80 nucleotides in length.
Source: Rfam by way of RNAcentral
GAGGGUAUAGCUCAGUGGUAGAGCGCAUGCUUAGCAUGCACGAGGUCCUGGGUUCGAUCCCUGCUACCUCCU